AUUUCAAAGUGGUGUGGAACAGAAACAGUUCAGUCAAUUUUUAAAUGUUUUUUUUUGUGAAUAAAAAAAAAGGAAAUACUGAAUUGGCAGUUACAAUUUGUGUGUUUUAUUGUUUUAUUUGUGUGGCGUAUCUAAACAAUUUGAAUAACGCCGCGCAUAAAUCCACAAUUGGACAACGCCAUCCGACUUGGACGAAAAAGAAGCGGGCAUCCCCAACAAUUAUUUUUGUAUCGCCAGGUGCGGCACAGGGGUUCCAGGCAACGAAAAGGUUCUGGAAACGGCCAAAGACCUGGGAUACUGCCAGUGAAUAGCCCUUGGAACAGGCAACAUUACCAAUCCGGGAAGCUAACCAGUAGAUCCCACCUAAAAAUCUGUAAAAAGAAGAUAAAAAGUUGCCUAAGUAUGCCGUUGUGAAGGUAAUGUAAUUCAAAAUUUAAGUUACUUACCAAAGAAAAGAAAGAAAGCCAAAUCCCGCUAAAAAAAAAAAAAGUCAUAUGAAGUUCCUUUUCCUUUGACGGAAACACCACUGAAAUAAAAAAAAAUAUGAAAUUCAUCAAUUAAUCCGAAUUUGACUAAAAGAAAAAAAGAAGCUAUAAAAAAAUAUUUGUUUGUUAGUGUGAAGUUUAGUAUAUAAGUUAAACGUAUUGUUUGUAGUUAGAUAAAUAGUGCUUAAGAUACAAAUGUGAGGAAAAUUAAUGCCCAUUAAAUCUUAUUGUUAGUGAGUGUAGGGUUGCCUCAAAAUUUUACAGCUAGAAAAUUUCGAUUUUUCUGUUUGGGACAAGGAUUUGAAAUGCCCAAAAGAUUUGUCUAAGUGAGCUCCUUUAGGCAGAAAUUUAAAGUACUUGUAUUGGCCAAAAUUGGCGCUUCUAGCAGGGUAAUAAAAAAGGUAAUCUGAGUAUUGACUCACAAUUUUUGUUUUUCGUUCGGGUAUUAAUAAUCCAGUUUUUUUUUAUGUGUUCGUGUUGAAAUUAGUUUUAAGAGAACGAUAAUGAUUCUAAUAAAUAAGCUUAAUGUCUAAUUGUCUGAAGAAAUAA
This is a long non-coding RNA of Musca domestica (house fly), 1034 nucleotides long. RefSeq lists it as uncharacterized. The transcript has 2 exons. The record is from RefSeq and is a predicted model, not a curated record. NCBI's taxonomy places the organism in Eukaryota, Metazoa, Arthropoda, Insecta, Diptera, Muscidae.